UGCCUGUUCGAGCGUCAUUACAACCCUCAAGCUCUGCUUGGUCUUGGGCCUCACCCGCAAGGGCGGGCCCUAAAAUCAGUGGCGGUGCGUCUGGCUCUCAGCGUAGUAAUUCUCUCGCUACAGGGCCUGGUGGACACUUGCCAUAACCCCAAUUUUCUAUGGUUGACCUCGGAUCAGGUAGGGAUACCCGCUGAACUUAA
This 200-nucleotide unclassified non-coding RNA is filed under the name soil metagenome. RNAcentral's name for it is "partial contains internal transcribed spacer 2 and large subunit ribosomal RNA". The record is from RNAcentral.